UACGGGGGGGGCAAGCGUUGUUCGGAAUUACUGGGCGUAAAGGGCUUGUAGGUGGCCAACUAAGUCAGACGUGAAAUCCCUCGGCUUAACCGGGGAACUGCGUCUGAUACUGGAUGGCUUGAGUGUGGGAGAGGGAUGCGGAAUUCCAGGUGUAGCGGUGAAAUGCGUAGAUAUCUGGAGGAACACCGGUGGCGAAGGCGGCCAUCUGGACCGCAACUGACGCUGAGGCGCGAAAGCGUGGGGAGCAAACAGG
This 253-nucleotide ribosomal RNA is filed under the name uncultured bacterium. RNAcentral describes it as "partial 16S ribosomal RNA". It matches the Rfam family "Bacterial small subunit ribosomal RNA", at positions 524 to 776 of the family's 1533-position model. The record is from RNAcentral.